AAAUAAUUUUUCAUUAAUUUCUCGUUUUUCACCCCAACCACAUUUUUCCAUCCUCUUUCUAAAACAUCAUCUUUGGCAAUUUUUUUAAAAGGCCAAAAGUAAAUAUAGUAGUUAUUUGCCUACACUAUGAUAUGGGCUAAUUUAAAAAAUAGAUAAGUUUUGUUAUUUGUGUAAACUAGAUUGUAUUUGUAGUAACUACUAUGGGCAAUAUUGAAAAAAUCAUGUAAUAUGAUCAUUACCUGUAUAAAAAGUAAAAGUCAAUCACGUGUAUAAACAUCAAUAUAUGAAAUAAAUAGAUCCAUUUUCUUAAUUCUUUCUUUUCUCUGUUUCUCUUUUUUUUUCUUAAUCCCUCUUCUCCUUUCCUCUACUUUUUUCCUCUGUGAAUUUUACUCUCUACAUUUUGGCUCGUAUGAAUAAGUAUUAGAGCCGUCAAUGUUUGCUACGAUUGGUUAUGGAAUAAAUCUAUCAAAUGAGGUCAUUGAUCAAUUACUUGUACAUUUGGAGUCCAAAACCAAUAAUUAUUUGGAGUGGUUGCAAAGCAAAAUACAAAAUGAUCAUAAGACCUUUUGCCCAAAAGCACCUUUGGUGCUCGAUCAAAUGCUUGUGAGAAUGGAUGAGAUAGUCUGUGAUAUGUAUGUUAGUGAUGCAUUCAACACAGUACGAAACCACAUAUGGAAUCAAGGCCAUCAUUGUCAAGUUAUGAGAAGGGGCUGCCUUCAUCAACUAAACCUAUCUCUAAUUUCAUAUCAUCAAAUGACAAUGAGAAAUUAGUUAAGCAAUCAGCAAUAGUGGGAAAUAAUGUUGAAAGGCAUGCAAUCUUUUUCAAUGGAAAAGGUUGAAGAAAAUUUUGUGGCAAACAGAGGCAUGCCUUCUAAAAAUGGGGAGGUUGAAUUGAAUAUGAAUCAAACCAUGAGAAGAGAGGCUACAACUUAUUAUUGUUCUCAAUGUUAUCUUUAAAGUAUUUGGUCUUUGGAACUUUUGUUGUUUGUUUACUAGAACAAAUUCAGAUUGGGUUUUAUUGUUCACCCAUCUUCUAAUAUAGCCCUGUAUAACACUUGUUUAGGUACACUUAAGCUCAUCGUACUUCAUAUUUUCAUCUGCUUCA
Gossypium arboreum is the source of this 1105-nucleotide long non-coding RNA. RefSeq lists it as uncharacterized. NCBI's taxonomy places the organism in Eukaryota, Viridiplantae, Streptophyta, Magnoliopsida, Malvales, Malvaceae. The transcript is spliced from 2 exons. The record is from RefSeq and is a predicted model, not a curated record.